CGCACGGUAAACGAUGGAUACCCGCUGUUUGCCCGUAGGGGUGAGCGGCCAAGCGAAAGCAUUAAGUAUCCCACCUGGGGAGUACGCCGGCAACGGUGAAACUCAAAGGAAUUGACGGGGGCCCGCACAAGCGGAGGAACAUGUGGUUUAAUUCGAUGAUACGCGAGGAACCUUACCCGGGCUUGAAUUGCAGACGAAUGCGAUAGAGAUAUCAAAGUCCUUCGGGACGUCUGUGAAGGUGC
RNAcentral lists this ribosomal RNA (242 nucleotides) under uncultured bacterium. RNAcentral's name for it is "partial 16S ribosomal RNA". It matches the Rfam family "Bacterial small subunit ribosomal RNA", at positions 796 to 1041 of the family's 1533-position model. The record is from RNAcentral.